This 877-nucleotide ribosomal RNA is filed under the name uncultured Nitrososphaerota archaeon. RNAcentral's name for it is "bacterial SSU rRNA". It matches the Rfam family "Archaeal small subunit ribosomal RNA", at positions 21 to 903 of the family's 1478-position model. The record is from RNAcentral. Lineage: Archaea; Thermoproteati; Nitrososphaerota.
ACCUGACUGCUAUCGGAUUGAUACUAAGCCAUGCGAGUCAUUGUAGCAAUACAACGCGGACGGCUCAGUAACACGUAGUCAAUCUAACCUAUGGACGGGGAUAACCUCGGGAAACUGAGAAUAAUAUCCGAUAGGCCACUAUGCCUGGAAUGGUUUGUGGCCCAAAUGAUUUAUCGCCGUAGGAUGGGACUGCGGUCUAUCAGCUUGUUGGUGAGGUAAUGGCCCACCAAGGCUAUAACAGAUACGGGCUCUGAGAGGAGAGGCCCGGAGAUGGGUACUGAGACACGGACCCAGGCCCUAUGGGGCGCAGCAGGCGAGAAAACUUUGCAAUGUGCGAAAGCACGACAAGGUUAAUCCGAGUGUUUUCUGCUAAAGAAAUCUUUUACCGGUCUUAAAACCACCGGCGAAUAAGGGGUGGGCAAGUUCUGGUGUCAGCCGCCGCGGUAAAACCAGCACCUCAAGUGGUCAGGAGGAUUAUUGGGCCUAAAGCAUCCGUAGCCUGCCGUGUAAGUUUUCGGUUAAAUCUAUGCGCUCAACGCAUAGGCUGCCGGAAAUACUGCACGGCUAGGGAGUGGGAGAGGUAGACGGUACUCGGUAGGAAGGGGUAAAAUCCUCUGAUCUAUCGAUGACCCCCUGUGGCGAAGGCGGUCUACUAGAACACGUCCGACGGUGAGGGAUGAAAGCUGGGGGAGCAAACCGGAUUAGAUACCCGGGUAGUCCCAGCUGUAAACAAUGCAAACUCAGUGAUGCAUUGGCGUAAGAGCCAGUGCAGUGCCGCAGGGAAGCCGUUAAGUUUGCCGCCUGGGAAGUACGUACGCAAGUAUGAAACUUAAAGGAAUUGGCGGGGGAGCACCACAAGGGGUGAAGCCUGCGGUUC